Zootoca vivipara (common lizard) is the source of this 1133-nucleotide non-coding RNA. Lineage: Eukaryota; Metazoa; Chordata; Lepidosauria; Squamata; Lacertidae. The record is from RefSeq and is a predicted model, not a curated record.
GCUGUUUCUCAGAAGAGGUAGCCCUGGGAGAGACAGGGGUUCAAAUACCUCCUUACUCAGCUCUGAAGCUCACUGGGUGACCUGGGGCCAGGUUGUGGGGAUUAAAUGAGAAGGCGAGAACUAUGUGUGUCAUCUUGAGCUCCUUGGAGAAAAUCCCAAGUGUGAAGAAGAUUUUGCAACUUGCAUUUCGUUGUGAGUUUGUCCCUUGCCUCAAAUUAUUCCAAAACACGAGGAAUGGGUUAAAAUGCCAAGUAAUCUCUUUUGAACUAUUUCAAACUUUGAACCCCACAGACUGUAUGUGAAUGAAGUGAAGGCUGUGGGAUCGGGAGUGUUGGUACAGAGAGGACAACCCCAUUGGAGGACAGUGGAGAAUCUCGAUUCUGUGGCCCAAUGAUGGCCAGCAUGCCUUUGAGCGGCAGCAGCAGCAGCAGCAAGAAGAGGAGGAUUUGUCCUCCCUGUGCAGGAGGCUCAGAACAUGACUUUGGGAGCUGUUGCGGGCAAUUGUAUUUUGCAUGGAGCUUCUUCAUCCUACUUGCCAGUUCAAGUGUGAGGUUUCCCUGCUGACUAACCCAAAUCUGACUUUGAAAGGGUUAGCUCCUUGAACCCGGCUACCUUGUGUAUCCGUUCCAGCCUGUGACCUGGUGUGUGACAUAAGAAGUGGGAAAGAAGCCAUACGAUCCGAAACCUGUGGUGGACAUUGAAUCUUCAAACUCUCUGGGGCUGGCUGCACCGGAAGCCACCGGUCCCACAGAGGAAGAAGUUGGACCGUGGACCUUAUAAUUUUUCGGUGGAUCUGAAAAUCCUAUUCAGGAAACAACCAGUGGGAAGGAAAUCCUCGUCCCAGGCCUCAGAAGAAACACGUUCUUUCAAGGGCCAAGUGACUGUUUCAGGACAAAUAAAGUGAAUGUUGCAGAUGUCGUCUUCCCGGCGGCUCCUUUCCCGGCUGAUGACAUUCUUCCAGGGGUCUUCUUUUCUCCAGACGUCUUUCCCAGGUUCCAGCAGAUAGGCCACCGUUCAUGCAAGAAAGAGAGAAAAGAGAUUCUGUUAGAAAGGGUACUAAACCUCAUGAAUGUUAGACCCUCUUGUUGCCCACCCCAAACAAAGAAAUGGAGGAAAGUUGCUGCUGGGGGAUU